AUUCUCUUCUUAAAAGAGAAGCCAUAUUUCCUUCCAGAACCAUUAUCACCUUGAACAUUUCCCAGAAUCAAAGGGGGAAAGCAUAGCAACUGGAAAGGGAUGAUGAGAAGAUGCAAUAUGAUGACACAUCCAAAAGCUCACAGUGAGAUGCCUGGUAUACAGGAACUGCUGAACAAUGGAAUGUGGAUGUGAGAGGAGGAAUUCAAGCAGCCUUUUUGAACUAUGAGGAACAGAACUGAUGAGCAGCAAGAUAGAAAGAAGCUAAGACUCUGGAGAUUUGAAAGGACACACUAGCAGCCUAGAUUGCCUAUCCCAGAGCUUUCUUUUACAAAAGAGAUAGACAGGCUUUGACCUUAAGAAAAGUAUGUUAUUCUUCACUUGCAACUAAACCUAAAGUUAGUAUGUUUAAUGAAAGAGGCCCAGAAUCCUAGGUGGCAUUUUGGACAAAAGAGUUUCCCAAACAUUAAGAUGAGCUAACAGGAGUAGAGGGAGAUUAGCAGCUCAGGGAAGUGCCCACCAUGGUGCCUUGUAUAUAUCUGAGAUCAGGAGUCAUCAGCUACCUUGUUGGCAGUGUCGGGAAAGUAAGUCAGUGCCUCAACCCUGGAUCUUUAAAACGCUUCAUACAAAGCCUGGAUCCAAUCUCCACUUUUUAUGUGUACACCUU
This is a long non-coding RNA of Heterocephalus glaber (naked mole-rat), 664 nucleotides long. RefSeq lists it as uncharacterized. NCBI's taxonomy places the organism in Eukaryota, Metazoa, Chordata, Mammalia, Rodentia, Bathyergidae. The record is from RefSeq and is a predicted model, not a curated record.